UACGUAGGGGGCAAGCGUUGUCCGGAAUCAUUGGGCGUAAAGAGCGUGUAGGCGGCCAGAAAAGUCCGCUGUGAAAACUCGAGGCUCAACUUCGAGCUGUCGGUGGAAACUUUCUGGCUAGAGUCCGGAAGAGGAGAAUGGAAUUCCUGGUGUAGCGGUGAAAUGCGCAGAUAUCAGGAAGAACACCCGUGGCGAAGGCGGUUCUCUGGGCUGACACUGACGCUCAUGCACGAAAGCGUGGGGAGCAAACAGG
This 253-nucleotide ribosomal RNA is filed under the name uncultured bacterium. RNAcentral describes it as "partial 16S ribosomal RNA". It matches the Rfam family "Bacterial small subunit ribosomal RNA", at positions 524 to 776 of the family's 1533-position model. The record is from RNAcentral.